UACGAAGGGGGCUAGCGUUGCUCGGAUUUACUGGGCGUAAAGGGCGCGUAGGCGGACAGUUUAGUCAGAGGUGAAAGCCCAGGGCUCAACCUUGGAAUUGCCUUUGAUACUGGCUGUCUUGAGUACGGGAGAGGUGAGUGGAACUCCGAGUGUAGAGGUGAAAUUCGUAGAUAUUCGGAAGAACACCAGUGGCGAAGGCGACUCACGGGCCCGUUACUGACGCUGAGGCGCGAAAGCGUGGGGAGCAAACAGG
This 253-nucleotide ribosomal RNA is filed under the name uncultured bacterium. RNAcentral's name for it is "partial 16S ribosomal RNA". It matches the Rfam family "Bacterial small subunit ribosomal RNA", at positions 524 to 776 of the family's 1533-position model. The record is from RNAcentral.